AGUGAACGCUGGCGGUAGGCCUAACACAUGCAAGUCGAACGGCAGCACAGAAAAAGCUUGUUCUUACGUGACGCGAGUCGCGGACGUGUGUAGUAUCCAUGGGAAUCCACUUUUUCGGGGGGGAAAACGUAGAGAAAGUAACUCUAAUCCCGUAUCCUACCUACAGGUGAAAGCAGGGGAUCUUCGGCCCUUGCGCGAUUGAAUGAGCCGAUGUCGGAUUAGCUAGUUGGCGGGGUAAGGGCACACCAAGGCGACGAUCCGUAGCUGGUCUGAGAGGAUGAUCAGCCACACUGGAACUGAGACACGGUCCAGACUCCUACGGGAGGCAGCAGUGGGGAAUAUUGGACAAUGGGCGCAAGCCUGAUCCAGCCAUACCGCGUGGAUGAAGAAGGCCUUCGGGUUGUAAAGCACUUUUGUUGGGGAAGAAGAGAAGAAAGUUAAUACCUCGGUGUAUUGACGUUACCCAAAGAAUAAGCACCGGCUAACUUCGUG
This 492-nucleotide ribosomal RNA is filed under the name uncultured bacterium. RNAcentral describes it as "partial 16S ribosomal RNA". It matches the Rfam family "Bacterial small subunit ribosomal RNA", at positions 29 to 507 of the family's 1533-position model. The record is from RNAcentral.